CCUACCCGCCCCUCCUUCCCUCACUGCGGUAACUCGGAGCAGCAGGACAAAGCGCCUGGGAUAAGGACUGAAGACUGAAGCAGCCAUGGGCUCUGAAGGAGUGGGCCUCCCUGGGGGCAGGUGGGCCCUGCUUCUCCUGUUUCUGUUGGCUGUGGGAGGCAUGGCUCAGGAGUCCCCACCCCAGAUCUUAGUUCACCCCCAGGACCAGCUGCUCCAGGGCUCGGGCUCUGCCAAGAUGAGCUGCAGCGCAUCAGGCCGGCCACCCCCCACCAUCCGCUGGCUGCUGAAUGGGCAGCCCCUGAAGGUAGAUGUAGACCUAUACCACCUCUUGUCCGAUGGAAGCCUCCUCCUGCUGCGGCCCCCCAUGCAGGGACGAGCCCAGAAUGACCAGGCCCUGUCUGCAAUCCUGGGCAUCUACACGUGUGAGGCCAGCAACCAGCUGGGCACGGCAGUCAGCAGAGGCGCUCGGCUGUCUGUGGCUGUCCUCCGAGAGGAUUUCCAGAUCCAGCCCCAAGACACGGUGGCCAUGGUGGGUGAGCAGGUGAUUCUGGAGUGUGGGCCUCCCUGGGGCUACCCAGAACCCACAGUCUCAUGGUGGAAAGAUGGGAAACCCCUGGCCCUUCAGCCGGGGCGGCACACGGUAUCCAGUGGUUCCCUGCUGGUGUCAAGUGCAGAGAAGAGUGACACGGGGAUCUAUAUGUGUGCAGCUGCCAACAAUGCGGGACAGCGCGAAAGUCGAGCAGCCAGGGUCUCUAUCCAGGAGUCCCAAGACCACAAGGAACCUCUGGAGCUUCUGGCUGUACGCAUUCAGCUAAAAAAUGUGACCCUGCUGAACCUAGACUCCAAGAAGGGCCCCAAGCCUGGGCCAGCUGUGUGGCUCAGCUGGAAGGUGAGUGGCCCUGCUGCACCUGCUCAGUCCUACACAGCUUUGUUCAGGGCCCAGACAGCCCAGGGAGACCAGAGAGCUCCGUGGGCAGAGGUGCUGCUGGACGGCUGGCAAAGUGCAGAGCUCAGCGGACUCCACUGGGGCCAAGCCUACGAGUUCAAAGUGAGACCAUCCUCUGGCCGGGCUCGAGGCCCUGACAGCAAUGUGUUGCUCCUGAGCCUGCCAGAACAAGUACCCAGUGCCCCACCCCAAGAAGUGACCCUAAAACAUGACAACAGCAGCAUCCUUGUGAGCUGGGUCCCACCACCUGCUGAAAACCACAAUGGCAUCAUUCGUGGCUACCAGGUCUGGAGCUUGGGCAACAGCUCAUUGCCUCCCAUCAACUACACUGUCAUGGGUGUGCAGACCCAGCUGGAGAUCGAUACCCGAACAUCAGGUUCCUACUGUGUCCAAGUGGCUGCGUUCACUGGGGCUGGGACUGGGGAACCCAGUAGCCCUGUCUGCCUCCUGUUAGAGCAAGCCAUGGAGCGAUCAGCCCAAGAACCCAGUGAGCAUGGUCUCUGGACCUUGGAGUGGCUGAGGGCCACCGUGAGGAGGCCAGAGGUCAUCACCAGUGGAGGCGUCCUCCUUUGGCUGCUGCUGCUGGGCAUCACUGUGUGUGUCUACCGCAGGCGCCGAGCCAGGGUGCACAUGGGCCCAGGGCUAUACAGAUACACCAGUGAGGAUGCCAUCUUAAAACACAGGAUGGACCACAGUGACUCUCCCUGGCUGGCAGACACCUGGAGAUCCACCUCUGGCUCUCGGGACUUGAGCAGUAGCAGCAGCCUUAACAGCCGGCUGGGAGUGGACCCCCGGGACCCGCUAGACUGCCGGCGCUCCUUGAUCUCCUGGGACCCCCGAAGCCCCGGGGUGCCCCUGCUUCCAGACACCAGCACCUUUUAUGGCUCCCUCAUUGCUGAGCUGCCCUCCAGCCCCCCAGCCCAGCCAAGCCCCCAGGCCCCAGCUGCCAGGCGCCUUCCUCCCCCAUUGGUGCGGACCUCCAGCCCCUGGCCCAGCUCAGACAGCCUCUGCAGCCGCAGGGGCCUCGCUUCGCCCCGCUUGUCUCUGGCCCCUGCAGAGGCUUGGAAGGCCAAGAAGAAGCAAGAACUGCACCAAGCCAACAGCUCUCCCCUGCUCCGGGGUAGCCACCCACUGGAGCUCUGGGCCUGGGAGUUGGGACACAGAAGCUCCAAGAACCUUUCCCAAAGCCCAGGCCCAGGCUCUUGUUUCCCAGCAGCUGUGCCUGGGGCUCUGGUGGCCUGGCGGGCCCUGGGACCACAGCUCCUCCGUAACUCCAAUGAGCUAGCGACCCGCCCUCUCCCUCCAGUUCCUCUCUCUCCAGGCGGAACCCACACUCAGAGUCCACAGACCCAGCACUCCGUGGAACCCCAGGCUUCUGCUCCCCUCCCCGUCCUUAGCCCCUCCAGGUCUCCCAGCCCCCAGCCCUCGUCCCUCUCUGGUCCCAGCCCAGCUUCCAGCCGCCUGUCCAGCUCUUCACUGUCAUCCCUGGGGGAGGAUCAGGACAGUGUGCUGACCCCUGAGGAGGUGGCCUUGUGCCUGGAACUCAGUGAGGGCGAGGAGACCCCCAGGAACAGCAUCUCUCCUAUGCCCAGGGCGCCUUCGCCCCCUACAACCUAUGGGUACAUCAGCAUUCCAACAGCCUCGGAGCUGGCAGAUGUGGGCAGGGCUGGAGGAGGCGUGGCAUCUGAAGGGGGGGGCUUGUUGUGCCCACCUCGGCCCUGCCCCACCCCUACCCCCAGUGAGGGCUCCCUGGCCAAUGGCUGGGGCUCGGCCUCUGAGGACAACGCGCCCAGUGCCAGAGCCAGCCUGGUCAGCUCUUCUGAUGGCUCUUUCCUCGCUGAUGCUCACUUUGCCCGUGCCCUGGGCAUGGCUGUGGAUAGCUUUGGUUUUGGUCUGGAGCCCCGGGAGGCCGACUGCGUUUUCACUGACGUCUCAUCACCUCCCUCCCCACGGGAUGACAUCUUCCUGACGCCCACCCUUUCCCUGCCCCUAUGGGAGUGGAGGCCAGACUGGUUGGAGGACAUAGAGGUCAACUACACCCAGCAGCUGGGAAGGGGGCUGCCUCCUUGGACCCCUGACUCUGGGAUCUCUUCCCAGUGAAGUCGGCUCAGCUGUCCUGAACCCAAGGCUGGGGGUGAGUGUGUGGCUGUCUGGCUAACACGAUUCCUCCUGAACUGUGAGUCUGAGAUAGACAGCAGGACCUCGGGGCCAGCCCUCCUGUGUGCUCACAAGGCUGGCCUGUGCCUCCAGGAGAGUUUUCCCACCAACAUUGCUCAAAGAAAGAAAAAAGAUGAAAGCAAGAGCAAAGUAGACCUGGAGCAUUCUGCAUGCAAAGCAUCACCUCCACCUGACCCCAGGAUCCUCUCUCCUCAGAGCCACCCUUCAGCCUGGGCCUCUGGCCUCAGGAGCAGCUCUGUCUCCUGCUCUUCCCCCCCAGGGGUCACAAGAAGUGGGGAGCCAGAGGGCUCUCCACAGAGGACCCAGUGGCUGGUCAAGAGGGCUGUGGAAGCAGAGCGCCUCCUCUCUCAGCCCUACCUGGGCCCCUCCUCUAGAGGCCAGUGCAAACCUCUCCCCGGCCCCAUCACAUAGAGAAAAUAAAGCAGCGGCACUGGGGCCCUACCUAGUGCCAAGGCCCAGGGCUCAAGGAUGGGUCUAGGGAAGAGACUGAACAAAGAGAUGAGCGAGCAUGGGACAAAAGCACCCUCCUCAUCCCACUGUCACUUUGAGCUUCUGAAACUUGAUGCUAUAAAACUGUAAAGACUUGA
This is an RNA transcript of Chinchilla lanigera (long-tailed chinchilla), 3711 nucleotides long. It is a transcript of the gene named roundabout guidance receptor 4, with no coding region annotated. Lineage: Eukaryota; Metazoa; Chordata; Mammalia; Rodentia; Chinchillidae. The record is from RefSeq and is a predicted model, not a curated record. The transcript has 18 exons.